This 34734-nucleotide long non-coding RNA is filed under the name Nicotiana tabacum (common tobacco). Its description in RNAcentral is "long non-coding RNA (NTAB_LNC004586)". The record is from RNAcentral. Lineage: Eukaryota; Viridiplantae; Streptophyta; Magnoliopsida; Solanales; Solanaceae.
UAAAAAAUACACAUUAGAAACCUAAUAAAAAAACCACAUCUGACCAAAAGCACAUUAGAAACCUAAUAAAAAAACCACAUCUGACCAAAAGCGUCGUUCCCCCCUCACCCAUCUUCUUUUUCCUCACUUCUAACCUAAAAACACAAAAAAAAUCAAGACCCUCAUCUCUAUCCUGGCAACGGCACAGACCCCCCACCUCUUCUUUUCCAUUCCCUCGUUACCCUCACUCAACACUCAAUCACACACACAUACACGCCUGGACUACUGAGAGAAGAAGUUUGCACUUCAAAAUUUAAGAUCUAGAAAACUAAAAAAAAAUCGAAAAAAGGGAUUAAAAGGUUGUUUGAAUUUUGCUUCAUGGCUUUAUCGUUUCUGACUUUACAAGACUUUUUUCUAGUUAUAUGUUUGCUGGUUUGUUGCUGCUUCCGCUGGUGGAUCUCACUCUUUAUUCCAGACCUUGCUUGGUCAUUUAGUGUUAUUUUUACAGCUUCUAGGUAUGUAAAUUCUCACAUAUUCUCCUCUACUUGAGUCUAUGGUUUAAAUUUCGGAUUGCUCAUAUUGAGUUCGUGAUUGUUUACUCAGAUUUUGAUUGUGUUAAUUGCUUAUGGAUUGACUAUAUUUGAAUGUUUAGUAUACCUAUUCAAUUGUGGUAUUGUAAAAUGUCCUCUUCUGUUGCGCCAAUUGAUUGAUAUUGGCUCAUAUAAUGCUUAGGUCUAAUUUGCCGUUUAUGUAUAAUUACUGUGCGUUUUCAUUGUUAUUUUGAAUGAAGAUUGUUAUAUUCAAAAAGGUCUUCUUUGAUUUAUGAUUCAAAUAGCGCUAAGCAUAUGAGUUUCAUCGCCUCAAUUUAUUCAUCUGUUUUCUUGGAGUUAUGUACUUCUUUUAUGAAUUCCACUGAAAUCUUUUGGAUAAGUUCAUAUUAAUCGUUUGCUACUUUGGAUUAAGUGGCAUGCUUGCUUGAUACAAUUAUUAGAUUGGUGUAUUAAAUUAAUAUGGCAAUAAGUUUUGUUUAGCUAAUUGGAUUUUGUGAGUUGAUUUGUUAUAUUUGGAUUGGUUUGUGUUUGAUAAGCUUCAAGAGGAAUUGGGCAUGAACGUAAUGCUAGCCUUUUAUCCACAUUUAUUUCAUAAUUGUAAUAGUCAAAUCUUACACCUACCCACAAAUUACCUCCAUAAUUCGUGGCCUUACAAUAAUCUCAAAGUAGGAAGAACAAUCUUAUGAAUAUCGUAGUUUGCUAUAGGCGCGAUUAAUAAUGAUUUAUCGUGGCGAUGGGUACGGUUCCCGUGGCAUGGUCACGAUACAUAAUUCCAAAUUCGGGUGUGCAUUUCAUGUGACCCGACCACAACUUCGAAAAAUAAUAAAAAUGAACAUGUUGUAAAUCGCGGGUGCAUUUCAUGUGAUACGGUUUGCAAUGUGUACCAACACGAUAAGUGUACGACAAUCGUGGCUUGUUCUAGAAAUAAAUCCAUAAAUAAAUAAUAGCGGUUAAAAUGUUAAAAAUGCAUAAUAGGUUUAAAACAUGUAAUAAAUCAGAUAAUGAGGCCAAUUAUUAAUAGUUGAGCGACAGUGCUAAAACCACGAAACCCGGGAAUGCCUAACACCUUCUCCCGGGUUAACAGAAUUACUUACCCGGUCUUCAGUGUACGCGGACCAUAAAUAAGAGUCAAAUUUUCUCGAUUUGGGAUUUAAAAUAAACCGGUAACUUGGGAAACCAUAAAUUAUUCCAAGUGGUGACUCUAAAAUUAAAUAAAUAAUCCCAUUUCGAUUUAUGUCACUUUAAUUGGAAAAACUCCCUUAUACCCCUUAUUGGGUAAAAAGGAGGUGUGACAGCUCUGGCUACUCCGCUGAGGAAAUGAACCCAGAACAUCUGGUUCAAGGUUAAGAAUUCGAGCUUAGAAAUGUUAUAGUUGGCUUUUAUCUAUUAUCUGAUUUUUAUAUGUUUGAGCCUAAUGUGCUCAAUGCUACUUUUUACUGCUUUGAUAUUGUUUUAACUGUAUAUAAAACUGUCACGAAACCCUUCUUCUCUCUGAGUCUUCUAAAUCUUCUGGGAAGCGUGAGCUUCGCGUGACUUCUUUUCUGUUAGAGUCAUAUCCUAAUUUUAGAACGAGGUUCAGAUAAGUUGCAAAGCCGAUGAAGCUUCUGUAUUCCCGGUACUCUGCCCUCCCCCCUCCGGCUUGAGCUAUCAGCUCGAGUAAGCCAAGUCUAGAACAAUACACCCAGGUUUUAAACCUAGAAUGACAUAGCCUCAUGCUGGAUUCCUAGUAGGAACGCUUGUUUGCAUCACGUGCAUUUGACUUUGGAGACUCAACACAGGGGUUGGGUCCGUCUAGGACAAGUGUACCCAAAAAUUUAAAGACCAUCUUGAUGCAUCCUACGUGCUACUUGCGCAUCUAUUUGUUUCGGCUUGCAUGUUGACCGGCUUCUAGAAUAAGGAAGGAAAAUCAAAAAAAAAUAUUCAAAAAAAAAAAGAGUGAGAGGUAGGUAUUUGGAAAAUUCUGAAACUCUGCCAAAAUUUUGAAAAAAAAAAGAGAAAUAAAAUAAGCCAAAGUUAUCAAAAGUCAUGAUUCCCUGUUCCGUCAAAAUUGACCGAACUACGCGGGUCUGAUUCUCACCGGAUGUGAGAUACAUAGGCAAACCUAAUCGGUUCUGGCCCAUUUUUUUUAAAAAAAUCCAAAAUUUUUUUCUCUUAAUUCCUUCUUUAGAAGCAUUUCCUUAGAAAAUUACAAAAAAAAAAAAAAGAUUUUUAAACUAAAAAAGUAGUUUCCUUCUUUCUGAAGUCUUUCAUAUGGAAAAAAAGGAAAAGAAAAGUCAAUCAAAAAUCAAAAUCCAGAAUAUGAGUUUCCUUUAUUUUGAAGUAUUUUUCUCAAAAAUCCAAAAAAAUUAGAACCAAAAAAAAUAAUCCAAAAAAAUAUAUUCUUUUUCCUUUUUUAAAAGUCUUUCUUUCGUAAAUGUCAAAACAAAAAUUAAAAAAUUGAAGUCCAAUAAUAUUUUCAUUUAGAAGUACUUUUGUAAAUUUAAAAACAAAAAACUCAGAAAUCCAAAAUAUUUUCCUUAAAAGUCCCUCUUUCAAAAAUUAAGAGCGACAUCCAAAAUNNNNNNNNNNNNNNNNNNNNNNNNNNNNNNNNNNNNNNNNNNNNNNNNNNNNNNNNNNNNNNNNNNNNNNNNNNNNNNNNNNNNNNNNNNNNNNNNNNNNNNNNNNNNNNNNNNNNNNNNNNNNNNNNNNNNNNNNNNNNNNNNNNNNNNNNNNNNNNNNNNNNNNNNNNNNNNNNNNNNNNNNNNNNNNNNNNNNNNNNNNNNNNNNNNNNNNNNNNNNNNNNNNNNNNNNNNNNNNNNNNNNNNNNNNNNNNNNNNNNNNNNNNNNNNNNNNNNNNNNNNNNNNNNNNNNNNNNNNNNNNNNNNNNNNNNNNNNNNNNNNNNNNNNNNNNNNNNNNNNNNNNNNNNNNNNNNNNNNNGUAAAGUAAACAAAUGGAAGUUCACCCCUCGGCCACAGUAUCAACAAAUCCGCCCCUCGGGCAACAUCUCAGAACAAUACCAGCCCUUCGGGCUCAAUCUCACAUCACAAUGGGUACCCGCACUAACUGGGGUGUACAGACUCCUAGAAGGGCCCCUUAUGGCCCAAGCGCAAUAUCAAGCCACCUCGUGGCAUCAUCACUAGGCCCUCGGCCUCAUAUCAAUCAAGCCACCUCGUGGCGUACAUAUCUCACGCCCUCGGCCUCAUAAUCAGUAUCAAAUGUCUCCUCACAACAUAGGCCCUCGGCCUUACUCAAUCAAAAAUCCUCACAAGCCACUCGGGCUAUAGUAAAACAGUGUUUCUCGGCCCAAACAUCAUUUAAAAUAUCAUUUAUGUAUUAAAACUGAGUAAACAUGGCCGAAUACGAAAACAGUGGAAAAUAACAUGACUGAGUUCAAGUAUAUAGUCAAAACAGUGAGGAAAUAUCAAUAAAAAUCCCUGAAGGGUUCAAAUAGUUGGCACGAAGCCCAAAUAUGACAUUCAGCCCAAAUCAUGAUGAUAGCAAAUAGAUUUCAACCAAAUACGCGGUAAAAUAGCAUUCGGGAUGGACUAAGUGACAAUCCCCAACAGUGCACGACCCCUCUCUCGUCAUCCAGCGUGUGCCUCACCUCAAUAUAGCACUAAGAUAUGCAAAACCGGGGUUUCAACCCCUCAGAACAUCAUUUACAAUCAUUACUCAUCUCGAACUGGUAAAAUCUCUAUCUCGCGAUGCCUUUGCCCCUCGAACGAGCCUCCACUCGCGUCGAAUCUAUCGAAAAUCAGAACGAGGAUGUCAAAAUAAGCUAAGGGAACGAAGCCCAAGCGAAAACAAUCAAUAAAUGGCCCAAAUCCCGAAAUUACCAAAAUCCGACCCCCGGUCCCACAUCUCGGAAUUCAAUAAUUUUUACUUCAAUACGUUCCUUAUCUCCCCACGAGUUCAUACAUAUCAAAAGUUCUGAAAUCCGACCUCAAAUGGUCCUUCAAAUCCUCAAUUAAAGGCCUAAAUUCCCAAGCCCUAGUUUCCCCAAUUUUCACCCUUAAUUUCCAUGAUUUCUAGCCGUAAUCCAUGAAAUAAAAACAUAGUAACGAGCUUUAGGUCCAAAUUCCUUACCUCAAUGAAGUUCCCUUGAAAUCCCUCUUUCAAAUCACCCAAAAAGCUCCCAAGCUGAGAUAAAUAUGGUGAAAUAGCUCAAAAUUCGUGAACGCUACAAUUUAUACCUUCUGCCCAGUCAUUUUUGCAUCUGUGGCACAAUACCCGCUUUUGCGGUACCGCAUUUGCGGUUAUUUCUCCGCUUCUGCAGAUAUCACUUAGCUUAUGAUUUUUCCGCUUCUGCGAUCCCUCAUUCGCAUCUGCGAUAUCGCAGAUGCGGUCCAUCUCACCGCUUCUACGGUUCCUGACCGCCUCAUCAUUUUCUGUCUUCUACAGCUGCUCUUCUGCACGUCCGGUGUCGCACCUGCGGUCCCCAAUCCNNNNNNNNNNNNNNNNNNNNNNNNNNNNNNNNNNNNNNNNNNNNNNNNNNNNNNNNNNNNNNNNNNNNNNNNNNNNNNNNNNNNNNNNNNNNNNNNNNNNNNNNNNNNNNNNNNNNNNNNNNNNNNNNNNNNNNNNNNNNNNNNNNNNNNNNNNNNNNNNNNNNNNNNNNNNNNNNNNNNNNNNNNNNNNNNNNNNNNNNNNNNNNNNNNNNNNNNNNNNNNNNNNNNNNNNNNNNNNNNNNNNNNNNNNNNNNNNNNNNNNNNNNNNNNNNNNNNNNNNNNNNNNNNNNNNNNNNNNNNNNNNNNNNNNNNNNNNNNNNNNNNNNNNNNNNNNNNNNNNNNNNNNNNNNNNNNNNNNNNNNNNNNNNNNNNNNNNNNNNNNNNNNNNNNNNNNNNNNNNNNNNNNNNNNNNNNNNNNNNNNNNNNNNNNNNNNNNNNNNNNNNNNNNNNNNNNNNNNNNNNNNNNNNNNNNNNNNNNNNNNNNNNNNNNNNNNNNNNNNNNNNNNNNNNNNNNNNNNNNNNNNNNNNNNNNNNNNNNNNNNNNNNNNNNNNNNNNNNNNNNNNNNNNNNNNNNNNNNNNNNNNNNNNNNNNNNNNNNNNNNNNNNNNNNNNNNNNNNNNNNNNNNNNNNNNNNNNNNNNNNNNNNNNNNNNNNNNNNNNNNNNNNNNNNNNNNNNNNNNNNNNNNNNNNNNNNNNNNNNNNNNNNNNNNNNNNNNNNNNNNNNNNNNNNNNNGCUUUUGCGGUACCGCAUUUGCGGUUAUUUCUCCGCUUCUGCAGAUAUCACUUAGCUUAUGAUUUUUCCGCUUCUGCGAUCCCUCAUUCGCAUCUGCGAUAUCGCAGAUGCGGUCCAUCUCACCGCUUCUACGGUUCCUGACCGCCUCAUCAUUUUCUGCUUCUACAGCUGCUCUUCUGCACGUCCGGUGUCGCACCUGCGGUCCCCAAUCUGUAGGUGCGGAAAUACCAGAAGAGUAAAGUUCAACAACUGUAACAAGGUUUCAAACUCCCCGUCAACCAUUCAAAAUCAUCCCAAGGCCCCCAGACCUCAACCAAAAGCACAAACAUAUCCUAAUACCUUAUUCGAACUUGUUCCAAUCAUCGAAGUAUCUCAAACAACAUCAAAUCACCCAAAACAAAUUAAAUUCAAGCCAAACUUUCUAAAAUCUUCUGAAUUUCACUUUUGAUCCAAAAACCCAACCAAACCACGUCCGAAUGACCUGAAAUUUUGCACGUACAUCCCAAAUGACACAACGGAAUUACUACAACUUUCGGAAUUCUAUUCUGACCCAUAUAUCAAAAUCUCGCCUACCAACCGGAAAUCGCCAAAAUAUCAAAUUCGCAAAUUCAAGCCUAAAUCUACUCUGAACCUCCAAAACUCAUUCUGAUCAUGCUCCUAAGACAUAAAUCACCUCCCGAAGCUAACCGAACCAUCGAAACUCACAUCCGAGCCCUCUAACAGAUAAGUCAACAUCCUGUUGACUUUUUUCAACUUAAGCUUACUUAAAAGAGACUAAGUGUCUCAAACCUUACCAAAAUCAUUCCGGAUUCGAUCCGACCAACUCGAUACCACAUAACACGGAUAAACAAAACAUAAGGAAAGCAGAAAUGGGGGAAACACAUCGGUAACUCAUGAGACGACUGGCUGGGUCAUCACAUCCUCCCCAACUUAAACAAAUGUUCAUCCUCGAACGAGUCAAGACACAUACCAGAAGCCUCAAACAGGUGAGGAUAUCUGCUCCGCAUCUCCUGCUCGGUCUCCCAGGUAGCCUCCUCCACGGGCCGACCUCUCCACUGCACUUUCACUGAAGCUAUAUCUUUCGACCUUAACUUUCGAACCUGACGACCCAAAACAGCUACUGACUCCACAUCAUAAGUCAAAUUAUCAUCCAACUGAACCGUGAUGAAAUCCAAAACAUGAGACAGAUCCCCAAUAUACUUCCAGAGCAUAGAAACAUGAAAUACCGGAUGCACACUCGAUAAGCUGGGUGGCAAGGCAAGCUCAUAAGCCACCUCUCCAAUCCUCCGAAGCACCUCAAAAGGCCUAAUCAACCGAGGACUCAAUUUCCCCUUCUUCCCAAAUCUCAUAACACCCUUCAUGGGCGAAACCUUAAACAGAACCUUCUUACCAACCAUGUAGGACACAUCUCAAACCUUCCUAUCAGCAUAACUCUUUUGUCUCGACUGCGCUGUACGAAGCCUCUCCUAAAUCACCUUCACCUUUUCUAAGCAUCCUACACCAAAUCUGUCCCCAAUAGCGUAGCCUCACCGGGCUCAAACCAACCAACUGGAGAUCUACACCGCCUCUCAUACAAAGCCUCAUAUGGAGCCAUCUGAAUACUCGCCUGGUAGCUGUUGUUAUAAGCAAACUCUGCAAGCGAUAGAAACUAAUCCCAUGACCCUCCGAAAUCAAUGACACAAACAUGCAACAUGUCCUCCAAUAUUUGAAUAGUGCGCUGGGACUGCCCGUCCGUCUAAUGGUGAAAAGUUGUGCUCAACUUAACCUGAGUACCCAACUCUCACUGCACAGACCUCCAAAACUUCAAAGUAAAUUGAGUGCCCCUAUCUGAAAUGAUGGAAACUGGGACACCAUGCAAAUGAACAAUCUCCUGGAUAUAGAUCUCUGCCAAGCGCUUUAAAGAAUAAGUAGUACACACAUGAAUGAAGUGCGCGGACUUGGUCAGUCGAUCCACAAUCACCCAAAUAGAAUUGAACUUCCUCAAAGUCCGUGGAAGUCCAACAACAAAGUCCAUAGUGAUCAUCUCCCACUUCCACUCGGGAAUAUCCAUCUACUGAAGCAAGCCACCCGGUCUCUGAUGCUCAUAUUUCACCUACAGGAAAUUGAGAUACCGAGCUACGAAUCCCACAAUAUCUUUCUUCAUUCUCCACCACCAAUAUUGCUGCCUCAAAUCCUGAUACAUCUUCACGACACCCGGAUGAAUGGAAUACCGCGAGCUAUGGGCCUCCUCAAGGAUCAACUCCCUAAGCCUAUCCACAUUGGGCACACAGAUCCGGCCCUGCAUCCUCAACACCCCAUCAUCUCCAAUGGUCAUGUCUCUAACAUCAUCAUGCUAAACUCUGUCCUUAAGGACAAACAAGUGUGGAUCAUCAUACUGGCGCUCUCUGAUGCGAUCAUAUAAGGAAGACCGAGAAACCACACAAGCCAUUACUCGACUUGGCUCCGAAAUAUCUAACCAUAUGAACCGAUUGGCCAAGGACUAAACAUCAACUGCAAGAGGUCUCUCCCCAACUGGAAUAUAUGCCAAACUCCCCAUACUCACUGCCUUUCGGCUCAAGGCAUCGGCCACCACAUUGGCCUUUUCAGGAUGGUAUAAUAUAGUGAUAUCAUAAUACUUAUGCAACUCCAACCAUCUCUUCUGUCUCAAAUUAAGAUCCUUUUACUUGAACAAAUGUUGAAGACUACGAUGAUCAGUGAGCACCUCACAAGAUACGCCAUACAAGUAAUGCCAUCAAAUCUUCAAUGCGUGAACUAUGGAAGCCAACAUUAAAUCAUGAAUGGGGUAGUUCUUCUCAUUGGGCUUCAACUGACGAGAAGCAUAAGCAAUAAAUCUACCCUCCUGAAUCAAUACACAACCAAUUCCAACUCUCGAAGCAUCACAAUACACGGUAUAUGAACCUAAAGCUGAUGGCAAAACUAACACUGGAAUUGUAGUAAAAGUUGUCUAGAGCUUCUGAAAGCUCUCCUCACACUCGUCCGACCAUACAAAUGAAGCACCUUUCUGAGUUAACUUGGUCAAGGACGAUGCGAUAGAUGAGAAUCCUGGAAUAAAAUGGCGAUAAUAACCCGCCAAACCAAGAAAGCUGUGAAUCUUUGUGGCUGAGGACGAUCUAGGACAACUCUGAGCCACCUUUAUCUUCUUCAAAUCAAUCUGAAUACCCUCAUUGGACACCACGUGCCCCAAGAAAGCCACUGAACUGAGCCAAAACUCACACUUGGAGAAUUUUGCAUAAAGCUUCUCCUCCCUCAAUCUCUGCAACAUAACUCUCAAAUGCUCCGUAUGCUCCUCCUAACUACGCGAAUAUACCAGAAUAUCAUCAAUGAAGACUAUGACAAACGAGUCAAGAUAAGGCCAGAACACACUCUUCAUCAAAUGCAUGAACGCUGCUAGGGCAUUGGUCAGCCCAAAAGACAUUACCAAGAACUCAUAAUGACCAUAUUGAGUCCUUAAUGCGGUCUUAAGAAUAUCUGAGUCCCUGAUCUUCAACUGGUGAUAACCUGAACAUAGAUCAAUCUUGCAGAACACUCUUGCUCCCUGAAGUUGGUCGAAUAAAUCAUCAAUGCGAGGAAAAGGAUACUUGUCCUUAAUUGUUACUUUGUUCAAUUGCCUAUAAUCAAUGCACGUUCUCAUAGUNNNNNNNNNNNNNNNNNNNNNNNNNUAACUUUCUUCAACUCCGCUGGUGCCAUACAAUACGGCAGAAUAGAAAUGGGCUGAGUGCCCGGUACCAGGUUAAUACCAAAAUCAAUAUCCCUAUCUGGUGGCAUGCUCGCCAGGUCAGCAAGAAACACAUCGGGAAAAUCCCUCACAACUGGAACAGAAUCAAUACUAGGAGUCUCAGUACUGACUUCCCUCACAAAGGCUAGAUACGAAAGACAACCCUUCCCAACCAUAUGCUGCGCUUUUAAGAAUAAGAUCACUCUACUGGGAACAUAAUCAGUCAUACCUUGCCACUCAAUCCGUGGCACACCCAGUAUAGCUAAUGUGACUGUCUUAGCAUGACAGUCCAGAAUAGCACAACAUAGAGAUAGCCAAUCCAUGACCAAAAUGGCAUCGAAAUCCACCAUACACAAUAAUAAAAGAUCCACACGGGUCUCCAGACCCCCAAUAGUCACCACAAACGAUCGGUACACACGAUCUACAAUAAUAGUAUCACCCACCGGGGUAGAUGCAUAAAUAGGUGAAGCAAGAAACUCACGGGUGUACCCAAAUAAUGAGCAAAGUAUGAUGACACAUAAGAAAAGGUGGAACCGAGAUCAAAUAAUACAGAGACAUCUCUGUGGCAGACUGAAACAAUACCCGUAAUAACUGCAUCUGAAGCAAUAACAUCGGGUCUACCGGGAAGUGUAUAGAAAUGGGCCUGACCACUACUUGAUCUACCUUCCACUUGGGGGUGACCCAUAACUAACUGACCUCCACCCCUAUCUGGCUGGGAAGGUAGUGGUGAAGUAACUGGCGCUAAAGCCGAUGCUUGACCCCUCUGCUGAGAUGAGCUCGCAAGAUGAUGAUGGAACUGCCUCCACAUAAGACCCAUCUUACCACACUCAUAAGAAAUCCUAAGUUCUAGAGAAGGGGACUGAAGGGAACCCCUCGCACCAGAGUGACUAGAGAUGCACUCGGCAUAGAAGAGCCCUGAACUGAUGGAGCACGGGACAAACUCUAAGCUAGAAGGGCACUAAGUGAUGACUGACCCUGAUGAGAACUAUGAGAACCAUAACACGAUGACGCCCUAUGAUAACCUGGGCGAGCUAGCUGAGCAUGCCUGAAUGGACGACCUUUGCCAUGCUGAAACUAACCCCUCAAAGGAGUACCACUGUAACUACCAGAUCCUCGAGGCCUCUUGUCCUCCCUCUCCUCGCGCUCCUAGCAACGAACACACUCAAUCUCCCGGGCAAUAUCCAUAACCUCCUCGAAAGUAGGAACAAUCACUCUCUCUGGUCAUGAUAAUACGAAGCUGAUAAGUGAGGCCAUCCACAAACCUCCUAAUCAUCUAUCUAUCUGUUGGAACCAUCCAAAUAGCAUGACGAGCUAACUCAGAGAACCUCAUCUUGUACUGCGUCACACUCAUCUCUCCUUGACGCAGCCACUCAAACUCUCUAUACAGCUCUUCUGUGCGGGACUGCGGCACAUACUUCUCCAAAAGGAGAAUGGAGAACUGCUGCUAGGUAAGGGGUGCUACACCAACAGGCCUACACCUCUCAAAAGCCUCCCACAAAGUAAACGCAGCUCCAAAAAACUGAUAGGUAGUGAAAGAGACUCCGUUGGUCUCAAGAGUACCCGCUGUACGAAGCAUCCUCUGGCACUUAUCAAAGAAACCCUGGGCAUCCUCGCCCUCUGCACUACUGAAGGUCGGAGGCUGAAGCCUACCAAACCUCUCCAAUGUACGCUACUCAUCCUCCGUCAAAGCAAGAACUACAUAGUCCUAAGCAACUGCAACCGGCUGGGCUGGAUGUGCCCCCAACAUCUGAAGUCCCUGCACGACCUGCUCAGGUGUGGGAGCGGCGGGAGUCUGAUUGCCUCCCCCAGUCUGAGAAGUAGCUGUGGCUGUAGUGGCUGAAAUCGCUUGAGCUAGGCCAGUGCAAACUACUGAUAAGAUCAGAGCCAAGGCCUCCUGAAGACUCGGAAUCACAAUGGGCACAGCUGGUGCUUAAGCUGGUGUUGAAGGAGCGUCCAUAACUGGGACCUGAUCCUGAACUGGGGCAGCUGGUGGAUCUACAGGUGCUGCCCUAGUUGCUCUGCCCCUACCAUGACCACGGUCGCGUCCUCGGCCUCUGGUGUCCACAACUGGUGGUAUUGAUGGUCGUCCAUCCUGACUGGUAGUGCGUGUCCUCACCAUCUAUGAGAGAAUAAAACAACAGAAGUUUAGUACUCGGAUCAACAAAUUCGCACGACAAGGAUUUCAAGAAUAUGAAGUUUUUCCUAAAGGUGUUGCAACCUCUCGAGGAUAAAUACAGACGUCUCUAUACCGAUCCACGAGACUCUACUAAACCUGCUCAUGACUCGUGAGACCUAUGUAACCUAGGCUCUGAUACCAACUUGUCACGACCCUAAAUCCAGACCCGGUCGUGAUGGCGCCUCUCGUGAAGACAAGGCCAACGACACUUUCCAUUUUCCAAUUAUUAACAGUUAAGCAUUUAAGAAACGGUAUAAACAUGAUAAAAUAAAUUCGAAAUAACAAUGAUAACAUAAACACGCGGAAGAACAACCAUACACAGCCCUAACCGGGGUGUCACUAGUCAUGAGCAUCUAUAAGUCAUAAUACAAAUCCGCUAAGUCAAUAAACUAGUACAACUAUCUGAAAAGAGAUAGAAGUGAUAAAGGAGUAGAGACACGGGGCUGCGGACGCCAAUAGCUACCUCGUGAACUCCGAAUAUCCGCCUGAAGCUGGAGGGAUCAGCACUCGGGAGCGGAACCAGCUACGCCUGAAUCUGCACACAGGGUGCAGGGAAUAAAGUGAGUACUCCAACUCAGUGAGUAAAAAAUGUAAAUAACAACUGAAAGUAAGAGAACAUUUAAGGCACAAUGCAUUCUAUAAUGAAGCAGUAAAAUAGUAUAAAAGCAGUAAACCAGUGAAAAGUUAAGUAACAAUCCUUUUUCAACAAGUAAACAGGUAAUUGUCAGGCAGUUAAGGUAAAGUAAAUAAAUGGAAGUUCGCCCCUUGGACACAGUAUCAACAAAUUCGCCCCUCUGGUGACAUCUUAGAACAAUACCAGCCCCUCGGGCUCAAUCUCACAUCACGAUGGGUACCCACACUCACUGGGGGUGUAUAGACUCCUGGAGGGGACCCUUAUGGCCCAAGCGCAAUAUCAAGCCACCUCGUGGCAUCAUCACUAGGCCCUCGGCCUCAUAUCAAUCAAGCCACCUCGUGGUGCACAUAUCUCAGGCCCUCAGCCUCAUAAUCAGUAUCAAAUGUCUCCUCACAACAUAGGCCCUCGGCCUUACUCAGUGAAAUAUCCUCACAAGCCACUCGGGCUAUAGUAAAAAAGUGUUUCUCAUCCCAAAACAUCAUUUAAAAUAUCCUUUAAGUAUUAAAACUGAGCAAACAUGGCUGAGUAUGAAAACAGUGAAAAAUAACAUGACUUAGUUCAAGUAUAUAGUAAAAACAGUGAGGAAAUAUCAAUAAAAAUCCCCGAAGGGUUCAAAUAGUUGGCACGAAGCCCAAAUAUGGCAUGAAGCCCAAAUAUGGCAUUCAGCCCAAAUCAUGAUGAUGGCAAAUAGAUUUCAGUCAAAUACGAGGUAAAAUAGUCAUUCGGAACGGACUAAGUCACAAUCCACAAUAGUGCAUGACCCCACACUCGUCAUCCAGCGUGUGCCUCACCUCAAUAUAGAACUAUGAUGUGCAAAUCCGGUGUUUCAAACCCUCAGAACAUCAUUUACAAUCAUUACUCACCUCGAACCUAUCAAAUCUCAAGCUCGCGACGCCUUUACCCCUCGAAUCAGCCUUCCCUCACGUCGAAUCUAUCCAAAAUUAGAAUGAGGACAUCAAAAUAAGCUAAGGGAACGAAGCCUAAGCGAAAACAAUCAGUAAAUAGCACAAAUCCCAAAAUUACCAAAACCCGACCCCCGGGCCCACGUCUCUAAAUUCAAUAAUUUUUUCAUCAAUAGAUUCCUUAUCUCCCUACGAGUUCAUACAUAUCAAAAGUUCUGAAAUCCGACCUGAAAUGGUCCUUCAAAUCCUCAAUUAAAGACCUAAAUUCCCAAGCCGUAGUUUCCCCGAUUUUCACCCUUAAUUUCCAUGAUGUAUAGCCUUAAUCCAUGAAAUAAUAACAUAGGAACAAGCUUUAGGUCCAAAUUCCUUACCUCAAUGAAGUUCACUUGAAAUCCCUCUUUCAAUUCGCCCAAAAAGCUCCCAAGCCGAGAUAAAUAUGGUGAAAUAGCUCAAAAUUCGCGAAGGCUACAAUUUAUACCUUCUGCUCAGUCAUUUUUGCAUCUGCGGCACAAUACCCACUUCUGCGGUACCGCACUUGUGGAUAUUUCUCCGCUUCUGCGGAUAUCACUUAGCUUAUGAUUUUUCCGCUUCUGUGAUCCUUCAUCCACAUCUGCGACAUAGCAGAUGCGGUCCAUCUCACCACUUCUACGGUUCCUAACUCCCUCAGCAUUUUCCACUUCUGCGGCUCCUCUUCUGCACAUGCGGCGUCAUACCUGCGGUCCCCAAUCCGCAGGUGCGGAAAUACCAUAAGAGCAAAGUUCAGCAGCUGCAACAAGGUUUUAAACUCACCGUCAACCAUCCGAAAUCAUCCCGAGGCCCCCGGGACUUCAACCAAAAGCACAAACAUAUCCUAAUACCUUUUUCGAACUUGUUCCAAUCAUCAAAAUACCUCAAACAACAUCAAAUCACCCAAAACACAUCAAAUUCAAGCUAAACUUUCUAAAAUCUUCCGAAUUUUGCUUUUGAUCCAAAAACCCAACCAAACCACAUUCGGAUGACCUGAAAUUUUGCACGCACAUCCCAAAUGACCCAACGGAAUUACUGUAACUCUCUGAAUUCCAUUCCGACCCCUAUAUCAAAAUCUCGCCCACCAACUAGAAAUUACCAAAAUAUCAACUUUGUCAAUUCAAGCCUAAAUCUACUGCGAACCUCCAAAACUCAUUUCGAUCACGCUCCUAAGUCACAAAUCACCUCCCUAAGCUAAAUGAACCAUCAGAACUCACAUCCGAGCCCUCUAACACAUAAGUCAAUAUCCACUUGACUUUUUUCAACUUAAGCUUACUCAAAAGAGACUAAGUGUCUCAAACCUUACCAAAAUCAUUUCGGAUUCGAUCCGACCAACCCAAUACCACAAAACACGGAUAAACAAAACAUAAGGAAAGCAGAAAUGGGGGAAACGGAGCGGUAACUCAUGAGACAACUAGCCAGAUCGUCAGACAAUCCCUAUCAGAUUCGAUAAUAUUAAUUGAGUAAAAAGUAAACUGAAAAAAAAAGAAAAAUUGAGUGGAAAAAAAAGAGAAAAGAAAAAAGUGAAAAAAAAGAAAGAAAAAAGAGAGUGACAAAAAAUAAAAGAGUGACAAAAGAAAAGAAAAGAGAGUCCUAAAAAAUAAAAGAGCGACAGAAAUGAAAUGGAAAAAAAGUCAAGAUUGAUUAAAGAGAGGCAAAAAUAAAAGAAGAGAGGUACAUACUGAAAGAGGUUCGUUAAGGUCGCGAUGAAACAUGCAACCGUUCAAACACAAGGUAGAAGUAUUUAACUGUUAGGUGCAUUGCAUCCCAACAUGCGAUUUCCUAUAUGUUAAAUGUCUCAAAACUAACAAGGUUGUGGUGUGAUCAAAUUAGCUAGGUUCUGUUCAGGUGGUUGGUUUUGCUGGUAUGCGAUGAUGAACGCGCAACCUUGCACACGGCCACAACAUUAUACACAAAACCGAACUCCACCUCCCAGAAAUGCCUAUCCUUACCAAGCUCCAUAUAAUCCCUAAUCAAAUGUUCCCUAGUACAAUCCUCACCCAAGAGAGCCUUUCAAAAUGAAUCACUUCACCCCUAUUUGGGAAUCAUACUCGGGCUUGUUCCAAAAGCUAGUCAGGCGAGGUUUGCUGUAGCUAGUGGCCCCAAACCGGCCAAAGCCCGAGUUUCGCUCGCAUCGAGCUGAUGCUAGAUGUAAAUACCACUCUGGAGCAGUGGGACACAAUACAGAGGAUUGUUAGAUCCUCAAAAGGGAAGUUGAAAACUUGAUUGAAGCUGAAAGAAUCAUUCUCCGAGACGAAGAGGCUCCUGAUGUGAUGAACCAUCUGUUUCCUGCUUACCAUGAGGAAUUCGAUCCGGCACUGAAGGCCAUUGUAUCCAUCGCCAAGACAGAAGAAAAGCAAAAUGGCCGCCAAGCCUAAAAGUUCCCUAUCAGAUGAGAAUCUUGGUAGCAAGUCUUGCUAUACUUUCUGCGUCCGGAUUAUCUCGGGGUGUGAUCCUAAUGUUUUACUUUAUUAUCUUACUUUCCGAUGUAAACCCUUCUAUUUUUAAAAUUAAAAAAAAACACAAAAAAAUCAAAUAAAAUUAAUAUUUCAUCGUCUAGGAAUUUCUUUUUUCUUAAUCUUGUCACUUUUCUUAUUCUCUUUUUAGUUCUGUUAAAAUGAAAAUUUCAAUCACAUGACAUGCUUGCGGACUUCAUGCCCGUAUCCUAAAACAUUGUUAGACCUCGAAAUAAUGAAUCAAGAAUUAGAUUGCAAUGAAGAUAAGUUCAAGGAAAUAAAACAAAGAGUUGGAACAGCUUCAGGAAAAUUGGUUCCAGAUUGGAAAGGUCCAUACAUCGCAACAAGAGUACUGCCAAAAGAGUGCAUUGUACUUGGGACACAUCAAAGGAAAUGUCCCUAAAACAACUGUCAAUGCAAAUGCAGCCAAAAGGUACUAUGUUUGAUCCUUCAUAUAGUAUUAAUAUUCUCCGGUUGGGAUGACGAAGGCUUUCAUUCUCACUACCCAAACACCAUUAACCCUUUUGUAAACUAUUUGAGCUGGUUACUCUUCUUUAAUUACCCUCUUUGGAACCUAAAAAUGUUAUUGAAAAAAAAAUAAAAAAGGAGAAGAAAAGAACAAUAAAAAAAGAAGAAAAGACAAAGAAAAUGAAAAAAAAGAUAGGAAAAAGGAAACAAAAAAGAACGAGAAAAAAAAGAAAAUCAAAAACAAAGUUCCCUGAACUAUGUUUGACUUGAUUCCGAAAGGAUACGUAGGUAGCCUCUCUCUGGGGUUCAGUCACACCAAAAUAAAAAUCUAGAUUCCCAAAAAAAUAGAAGCUGAAACUGGGGCAGAAGUUAUAAUGGUUUGGCGAUGGUUUUCGCCUGAAAGGUUCCAAAGUUGUAAUUCAAUCCAAAUUCUUUUUAUCCCAAAUCCUAUUCAAGUCCUUCCGACCAAUAGAUAAAGAUUUCCAAUUGGAGGAUAUAGUUACUUGGACCUGAUACAACCAAAUGAGAGAAAUAAAAUGAGAGAGUCUUAUUGGUGAAAACCCACACGAGCACCGUGAGGCGACAGUAAACAGAGAAAAUAAAAAUGAGAGAGUCUUGUUAGUGAAAACUUGUAAAGAGCACUAUAAGGCGAUGGUGAGAAGAGAAAUGAGAGAGGUCAGCUCGUGAAAACCCGCAAAGGGCGCCCCUGAUCGAAAAGAGGAUCCUCAUAGCCAUCAGCAUCGACAGAGUCCUGGCAAGGUUUCUCAGAUUUUGAGGCAAAAGUUGUGAUGAAUUUUUGAAAGUCGGAUGAUUUACACAGAUCAGGCAUCCAGUCCAAAAGGUAUGUCAUAUUCAUUAAAGUCCGCAUGUACUCCAGAUAAGUCCUUCUUUCCUUUACCCAAAAGGGACACUUCUUGUUUUAAACUCAUUCUCCAUUCCAUUGUUUGUUUUCUUUGAAUCUCUUUCGGUCUAAAUCUGUUCCGAAACUAAGACAAACAAAGGAUGGUAAGACUGAUUUACAUGGUUCUCAUUUGAUACAAGUCAAUAUGCAAAAGUCACCAGUCUCGGGAGGGGCAUCAAGUCGACCUCGACUGGCCAUAGUGGCUGAUGUUUUGAAAUUGAAAACUCUUGGAAGGAGAAAAUCAAAUUGAAGUGCCUAUAAAAAAAUAAAGUUGAAAAGGUUGUGUCCCAUGCAGCUAACUAUUCCGGCAAAGGUUUGAAAAGCCAAGGUACCCCAAAUGCUUUGAAACUGAAAUUGGAAGAAAGAAACUAGAAAUGAAAGCCUACAAAGGCGAAAUAAAGUUGAAAGGUUAAGUCCUACACAACUAACCGUUGCAGCUAAGUUUGAGGAGCCAAAAGUUUCCCAAUGCUCCGAAGUUUUUAUAAAAAAAGAAAGAAAAGAAAAAACGAUGAAGAAGAAAAAUAACAAGUCAGAAAAGAAAGGCCUAGAAGGAAAAAUAAAGUCGAAAAAUUUGAGUUCCACCGACCAACCGUCAUGGCAAAGUCUGGAAAAACUAGAGGUUCUCCAAGGCCUGAAAUAAAAUCGGUCCUCAGGGAACAAGCAGUUGCAGUUGAGAUCUUCAUCAAAGAAGUCGGGGCGAGAUUAAGUGAUUGAAACGCUCAAGGCCACAAAACCAAGCAUUGUUUCAAAUUGACAAAUUGUUCUUUGUUUUGAAAAAAAAAAAUAGGAAACAUGUGCAAUCCAAAAGCAACCUUGCAAGAAGCAGGUGCGACCAAAAAGAAACUUCGCAAGGGCUAGAAACAGCUUUGCAGCAACAACCCAAAAAGGGAAGUCUCUUCCAAAAAUCUUUCCCGCAUUUACUCAUUCUCUAAAAUAAAAAAAAUGACAAUGAAAUGAAAAGAAAGAAAAGAAGAAAAAUUCAAAAUCAUGGUAGUAUAGGGUCUCCAAUCCCUAGCUGCGUCUUUUCCAGCAUAGGGUCUCACUCCCUAGUUGAUGCCGGCAUAACCCGAUGACUUUUCCAAUAUAGGGUCCCACUACCUAGUUGAUAACGACAUAACUUGGUGAUUUUUACAACAUAGGUUCCCACUCCCUAGUUGAUGCCGGCAUAACCCGAUGACUUUUUCCCACAUAGGUUCCCACUCCCUAGUUGAUGCCGGCAUAACCCGAUGACUUUUCCNNNNNNNNNNNNNNNNNNNNNNNNNCUUGAUGCCCGCAUAACCUGAUGCCAACAUAGGGUCACCACUCCCUAGUUGAUGCCAACAUAGGGUCUCCAUUCCCUAGUGUUGAUACCCAAUUUUCCCUAUAUAUUUUUAAUCUGCAUAAAUACCUUCAAAAUAACAUGUAUAUAUGUAUAUAUAAGCAUGCACAAGGUUUUUAUAAUUUUUCCCAUAAUUUUAAGGAUUUAAAUUGAUUUAUUUCCUUCCCUUUUAUUCAUAAAAUCUCCAAUAAUUAUCCCUCAAAUUAUUUUUAUGGUGAUUUAGUCAUUUAAUUCUAUAUUUAUGCCAAAAUAGGGUUAAAAUAUUUUUUAUGCAUUUAAUAAUUGCAUUUUGUAUUUUUAAAGCUAAAUUGCGUAUAAUUGCUAUGUUAGCCCCAUUAAUGUACAAUUACAUUUAUAUGCAUAAAAUUGAUCUCCUAUAUUUUUAAAAUGUUAAAUAUCUAUUUUAAAUCAUUUUAGUACAUGAAAUUAUUUCUUAGAAAUUAUUUAUCAUUUAUUAUAAAUUAUUUAAGGAAAAUUGGCUAUUUAAAAUAUAGCCAGAUUUGCAUUUCAAUUGUAGCCCAAUUUAAACCCAACCCCAGCCCAAUUUCAGAUUAAAAACACCUGGCCCAAGCCCUAAACCCGCCUACCCAACCAAAUGCCAUUUUAAAUCUUGGCCGUUGAUCUAAAAGAUCAACGACCCUCGUCUGUUCUUACCAUUUUUAAUUCCAACGACCCCUAACCCUAGCUCAUUGUUCAGAUACCGCCGCUUCUGUAUUCUAUCAUCUCCUUUCCUCUCUCAACCACUCAACCUAACCCUAGCUCCUUCAACCGCCGACCUUCUUCUCCGGUCUUCUUCGGUGAUCUUCCUUAAACUCCUAAGCCUCCAUUGGCUCCUCUAAUGAUAUGCUUGCCUUCUAUAAGGUCUUCAAGGGCCCUGGGCCACACCGACUUGCAUCUAGGGUUUGCUAUUUGUCUGUUCUUGGCUACUUCAGUGUGAUUUCAAGCAAAAUCAUGUUGUGCUUGUUACGAUCCUUGGGAUUCUAGACCAGCUCUUUCAUCUCUAUUUGGCUACUUUAGUAUUUUACACUGUUGUUGGGACUCUUUUAAAAGAAUCAUCGAUUUCAGUUUAAAACUUUGUUUAAACUGAUUCCUUAUGUUUAAACUUCCAUCUCUUGCAUAUUCCGACUGAUUCUAUGAUUUUACUGUCUUUUCAACUCGCCUAUGUUGAAAGCCCUAAUUUUCUGGACUUCUUCGUUUGGUUCUGUGUAUUAGCAUGACUGCUCGUUUCUUGUUUGAGUUUCUAUGACUAUCUUGCUUCGAAUAUGUUCUUACUAAGUUCUUAGGCUAAUUUAUAUCACCUCUAUGGGCUUAUGUUCAUUUUGAUUGUUCGGACUUGCCUCUUUCUAUCGAUACUGUUUAACCUGCAUGCUUGCUAGGUCUGGUUAUUCUUAUCUUCUCUAUUUAUAUGAUGAAUACAGAAUCAUGACUCCCUCUUUGAUUGAUUCUGGAUUCCCUAUUUUUUGGAUUUGAUUGAAAUACCUUCCUUUAAACCCUCAAUUUCUACCUCUUCUAUUCAAAUUAACUGAUUCGCCUACCUUGUCUGUUGUGGUACUUUAUUCUUACUGGCUAUUUCCUUAAUUAAAGUGUUCUAAACUUAGCCCUAAUUGUUUACCUUAUACUUACUGAAUUUGAAUCUUUUCUUAUUAGUCAUACACUGAUUUUUUUCCUUAUAUGCUACUUGUUCCUACCGUUUGAAUUGAUUCCCUUAACUCUAGGGAGUACUUGUCCUGAUUUUGCUCUAAUUGGUUUUGAGUUCCAUAAUCGUUAUGCUACGAUGAUUCUUGCCUUAUUUUACCUAAUUUUCAAACUACUAUAUAUACACACUCUCUCACUAACACAAACACACGAACACUUUGGUUCAAAAGCUCUCUCUUUCUCACACUUAAACUUUCCGCUCUCUCUCUCUCUCUCUCUCUCUCUCACUCUCUCUCACUCUCUCUCUCUCUCUCUCUUGUGCUACUUGUUACUAUUUUGAGUUAGCCGGCUGCAAGCCAAUGAUAAAUAUUGCGCUCUCCUACUCUUUCACUCUUGCUUACUGUCUUCUUUACUGGUAUGUUCUAAUUUCAAUUCAAGGUCCAAAAACAAUAUGGUUCUUUUAUUGCUUUAGUUCAUCCUCUUUCUAGUUUGCUUUUACUUAUGGUUUUGCUGUGAAACCUACAGUUAAUUAUGACAACUCGGCCAGUUGUCUCAUGUGUUACCGCUUUGCUUUUCCCAUUUCUACCUCUUUAUGCUUUUUUUAUCCAUAUUAUGUGAUAUCAGGCUGGUCAGAUCGAAUCCGGAAUAAUUUUGGUAAGGUUUGAGACACUUAGUCUCUUUGGAAUCAGUUUAGGUUGGAAAAGUCAACCGGAUGUUGAAUUAUGUAUUAGAGGGCUCGGAUGUGAGUUUCGAUGGUUUGGUUAGCUUUGGGAGGUGAUUUAUGACUUAGCAGCGUUAUCGGAAUGAGUUUUGGAGGUUCGAAGUAGAUUUAGGCUUGAAUUGGCAAAGUUGAUAUUUUGAUGAUUUCCGGUUGAUAGGUGAGAUUUUGGUAUAAGGGUCGGAAUAGAAUUCUGAGAGUUGUAGUAGUUCCUUUGUGUCAUUUGGGAUGUGUAUGCAAAAUAUCAAUUCAUUCGGACGAGGUUUGGUUGGGUUUUGAUCAAAAGCGUAAUUUUGAAGAUAUUAGAAUUCUUAGGCUUGAAUUCGAUGUGAUUCGGUGUUUUGAUGUUGUUUUGAUUGUUCCGAAGGUUGGAACAAGUUUGAAUGAGGUUUUAGGAUAUGUUGGUGCCUUUGGUUGAGGUCCCGGGGGCCUUGGGUGAGUUUCGGAUGGUCAAUCGGACCAUUUCAUGCCUUGGAGAAGUUGCGAAAUUGCAAGUUCAGCUGUUGCAAAGAUUCCUUCUCUGUGAUCGCGUAGGGCUUCUUGCGAUGGCAUAGAAGCUUUUGAGGGGGAAGUCCAUUUGUUCUUCAUGUUCGCGAAGGUUGAUCUGCGAUCGUAUAGAAUGGUGAAGUUGUUGAUCGCGAACGCGUAGUGAAGGUCGCAUUCACGUAGAGUUAAGUGGACCUGGGGUCUUGACUUGAAUUUGUUCAUUACGAACGCGGUAGGAAGUCCGCGAUCGCGUAGAGUUAGUUGCCUGGGCAUCACGUUUGCAGGGUGUCUUAUGCGUUCACAUAGAGAAGUUUUUGGGUGCUGAGAAUUUGUGUUUCGCGAUCGCGAAGGAUUUCCCGCGAUCGCAAUGAAGGAAAAUAGGCCUAGGCAGAAGGUUUAAAAGGUCGUCUUGUCCGUGAAUGUGAGGUUUAUUUCCCCCAUUAUUGGUUGUUUUGGAGCUUUUUGAAGGAGCUUAAAGAGGGAUUUAAGGGGAAUUACUUGGAGGUAAGAUUCUUGGACUUAAAACUCGAUUCUAACGUGAAUUCCACCUAAAUAAUCAUGGAAAUUAAGCCAAAAAUUGAAGAACUAGGGCUUGAAAUUGGGGACCUAAAAUUUGGGAUUUAAAGGGUCAUUUUUGGAUGGAUUUUGAUGUUUUUGAUAUGUAUGAACUCGUGGGCAGAUAAGCAAUCCAUUGAUGUGAAUUUUUUUUGAAUUCCGAGCUGUGUGCCCAGGGGUCGGGUUUUGGUAAUUUCGGGAUUUGUGCUAUUUAUUGAUUGUUUUCGAUUGGGCUUCGUUCCCUUAGCCUAUUUUGACUUCCUUGUUCUGAUUUUGGAUAGAUUCGAUGUGAAAGGAGGCCGAUUCGAGGGGCAAAGGCAUCGCGAGUUAGAGAUUUGACCUGUUCGAGGUGAGUAAUGAUUGUAAAUGAUGUUCUGAGGGUUUGAAACCCCAGAUUACACAUCAUAGUGCUAUAUUAAGGUGAGGCACAUGCUUGAUGACGAGCGUGGGGUCGUGCACUCUUGAGGAUUGUGACUUGAUCCAUCCUGAUUGAUAAUUCUACUGCGUAUUUGACUGAAAUCUAUUUGUUGUCAUUAUUAUUUGGGUUGAAUGCCGUAUUUGGGCCUUGUGCCAACUAUUUGAACCCUUCGCGGAAUUUUAUUGGUAUUUCCUCACUGAUUUGACUUUAUACUUGAACUCAGUCAUGUUAUUUUCCACUAUUUUCAUACUCAGUCAUGUUUACUCAGUUUUAAUACAUAAAUGAUAUUUUAAAUGAUGUUUGGGCUGAGAAACACUGUUUUACUAUUGCCCAAGUGGCUUGUGAGGAUUUUGACUGAGUGAGGCCGAGGGCCUAUGUUGUGAGGAAACAUUUGAUACUGAUUAUGAGGCCGAGGGCCUGAGAUAUGUACGCCACGAGGUGGCUUGAUUGAUAUGAGGCCGAGGGCCUAGUGAUGACGCCACGAGGUGGCUUGCUAUUGCGCUUGGGACAGGGGCCCCUCUAGGAGUCUAUACACCCCCAGUGAGCGCUGGUACCCAUUGUGAUGUGAGAUUGAGCCCGAUGGGCUGGUAUUGUUCUAUGUGAUUGCCCGAGGGGCUGGUACUGUUCUGGUAUGUUGCUCGAGGGGCAGAUUUUUGAUACUGUGCCCGAGGGGCGAGCCUUUAUGUGUUUACUUUUCAUAAUUGACUGUCAAUCACCUGCUUAAUUAUUGAAAAAGGCUUUCUCAUGAAACUACAUUGGAGUUAAAGGAUUUUAAGUAUCUUUCACUGAUUCACUAAUUUUAAAUGGUUUUACUUCCUCAUUAUAGAAUGUUAUGUGCCGUACGUGAUUACUUGCUUUUAGUCUUUAUUUACCUUUGUUACUCACUGAGUUGGAGUACUGACAUUACUCCCUGCACCCCUGUGUGCAGAUUCAGGCGUUGUGGAUCCUGCAAGUGUAAGUUGAGAGCUCCUAGCACAUAUUAGAGACCACGAGGUAGUUGUUUGAUGUCCGUAGUCAUGUGUUUCUCCCUCUUUAUCAUUUCUAUCUUGUAUCAGACAUUUGUAAUAGUUAUAGACUUUUCAGACUUGUAUUAUGUUUUAUAGAUGCUCUUGACUAGUGACACCCUGGUAUCGAGCUGUGUUGGGUUGUUCUUCCGCGUAUUUAUGAUAUUAUCUGCUACUUUGGAUUAUUUUAUCAUGUUUCGACUAUUUCUAAAUGCUUAAUUGUUAAUAAAAUUGGAAAAUCGGAAGUGUCGGUUGGCCUUGUCUUCACGAGAGGUGCCAUCACGAUCGGGUCCGGGUUUAGGUCGUGACAAGUUGGUAUCAGAGCCUAGGUUACAUAUGUCUCAUGAGGCAUGAGCAGGUUUAGUAGUGUCUCAGGAUCGGUACUAAGACGUUUGUAUUUAUCCUUGAGAGGCUGCAGAGCCUUUAGGAAAAACUUCAUAUUCUUGAAAUUCUUGUAGUAUAAAUUUGUUGAUCCGAGUACUAAACUUCUAUUGUUCUAUUCUCUCAUAUAUGGUGAGAACACGUGCCACCGAGCAGGAUGGACAACCACCAGUACCACCAACUGUGGCCACCAGAGGCCGAGUGUUACACCCCAUGUUUUAGUAUGUAAGAGUACGUCAUAAGUCAAUUAAUGUAAGUUCAGAAAUGGAAUCAUCUUUCAAAAGUAUACAAAGUUAGUUCAUCAUGUUAACGUGGAUGUUACAAAUAUUUAAGAUCAUUGAUACCAUGUAGCAAGAGAGUUUGAAGGCUUAGAAGCUAAACAAAUUGAAUAAAAUAAGUUUCGUCGAAAGUCGACAAGUUGGAAUGUUUUACCAUGUACUUUUGGGGUGAAACUAGGGUUAUUAACACUAUAAGGAGAUUAUAAUAUGAGUUAUUUUAGUUGUAUGAUAGUUGGUGUUAUGGUUUGAAGUCAAGCGAGUUAUGGAACAAAAGUUGGAAAAGGUCAUCACAAGUUCCAUUAAUAAAUGUGCUGAAAAUUAGGUCAAAUGUAACUGAGCUUUUCUUCCAAUAUACUUCGAAUUAGGGGAUGAUAUACCUACAAAAUUAAAGAUCUAUGAGUCUAGUUUCUAAAUCAUUAAACCGUUCAUCAAUAUGAUAUCGGAGUAUUGAGAUAUUCGCAUUUUCGCGAGACUGCAGAGAUUAGUAGGUGACAAGUAAGUGCAUCACCUACUUGCCAAAAUGAGAGGACAAAAUUAUAAGCUCCAAAGUCGGACAAAAAGGGACUUUUAAGGGAUUAUCAACUCAGUUGUUUCACCUAUAUUUCAGACCAUGAAAACCAAAUUGAACCCCUGCAACUUCUCCCCAAAAAUCCCACACAAACCCUAGGGUAUUCCGGGUGUUACGAUGCGAUUCUAGUGCUGAAAAGUCCGGACAGCUUGCUAGUUUCUCUUUCUCCUUCUUGUAGCCAUGUUGAGGAACUUAUUUUUGAUGAAAAAGGACCAGGUUUCGUGGGUUAUACUCAGUACAAGGUAAGUUUAUGCUUCUCCUUCCAUUAUCUAUGCGUUUGCGAGUUGUAACUUGAUCGUAAAGAAUAGACCUAGCUAGUUUCGAAAGAAUGGUAUGUUGUUUGUUCUUGUGUAAUGGUUGGCUGAUUUUGAACUUAUUUAUAAGUUGAAUUCAUGUCUUGUUUAUUGGAUAAUAGGUACAAUGACAUACUUUUGGUUGUAUUUCACAAUUUGAAAGAAAAGACAAGUUGAAACGUGUUUAAGUAAACUGAAAAAUUAUUUUUGAGUUGAUGAACUUGUGGGACUAUUUUUGGGCUGUUUCGUAUUGGUAUUGGGUUUUAUAUUUUACUACUAUUAUUAUGGAGUUGAGAGGAGUAAGGGUGUGGAGAAACACCACAUAAUGACAAGGUUGUUGUUGGUCAUUCGUAGAAACAUUUUUGAAUUGUUUGACACUAUUAUGGUUGUCGUGUUGUGUAUGAAGUGAUAGGGGUAUGUUGGUAUGUUUGUGAUUGUUUUGACUAGUGUUAAGUCAUAUAUAUAGGGGAGGUGCUGUCCAUUUCAUUGUAAAAUAGUUGUGGUCGAUACAUAAUAGUUACGACGCUUAAACGAUAACGAGAGUGUCAUUUCUCUUAUUGUAGACUAAGGAGCCGUAAAAUUGCAUAGCUUGAGGUUGGGAAGAAUAUACAGGGCAUGUUAAGGCACUUUCUUCUUUCUUUUGGCAUGAUCUAAAAUGAAAUGAACAUAAACGAUAUGAUAUUUCAUAAUGACUCUACUCCUAGCAACUAAGGUUGUCCAUGUUGUUCUUUCCGUACAAAGUUAUUCUAAGAAAGUAUGUAUGAUCCUUGAGUCCUAGUGAAGUUCAUAUUGAUGGUAUGAUGUCCAUAAUGCUAAUCGAAGGUGCAAAUACCUUACAUCACUCCGAAAGGUUUAGAACGUGAUUCCAUGAGUCGAGCAUGCAUUAUAUAUAAGUAUCUAUUUUACUCUACCGAGCCGCACUAUAGUCGGCCGGGUACAACACCUAUUGUGGAACCACUGAUGAGUUGGGUUUACCGAGAUCCACGUGGCCGAGUACGAUUCUACCGAGCCUUAUGAUGGCCGAGUACGUUUUUACCGAGUCCUCUUUGAGGCCAGGUAUGAUAUGAUGAUGAUGAUUCCCAAAGAGGGGUAUGUUAUUUAAAAGUUUGUGUAUAUAUAUAUAUAUUAUGCAUUUCAUGUCAGUAGACCCCAGAGGCACUCAGAUGUUACAGGUUGUAUCUCCUCUAUCUCUCUUUACAUUACAGUUCUUAUAUAUGUUUUCCUGCCUUACAUACUCGGUAUUUUAUUGUCCCUUCUUUCUAGGGACGCUGUGUUUUAUGCCUGCAUGUCCCGAUUGAUAGGUUGACAGUCCUUCAAACAGGCUAUUAGCUCAGCGGAAGCUAUUGGUACACUCCACUUGCUCCGGAGUUGCCUAUUUGGUUAGUAUGCUUUGGAUAUGUAUUGAUUGGUAUGGCGGGGCCCUGUCCCGACCUUUAUGAUAUUAGGUACUCUUAGAGGCUUAUAGACGUAUGUCAAGUGUACGUAUACUUUUAUGGCCUUGUCGGCCUAUAUUUUGAGUUUACAAAUGGUCAGGUCGGCCUUAUAGGCCCGUAUGUCACAUAAAUAAGUUUGUAUAUCAUGUUGGGUCAUCAUAUAUUGAGUAUUCCCUUAUGUUUUAUUCUUGUUAUCUCAUGAAGAGUUUUCUGGCUCAUUUACCCAUGAUAGUAUGAUAAGAAAGAUAUGUUACGUUGGUACUCGGUUGAGUAAGAUACUGGGUGCUCAUCGCGGCCCAUUCAGUUUGGGUCGUGACAGAAGUGGUAUCAAAGCAGUUCCGUCCUAAGGAGUCUACAAGCCGUGUCUUGUAGAGUCUUGUUUAUGGGUUUGUCGUGAACCAUAUUUAUAAGCAGGAGGCUGCAGGGCAUUUAGGACUGUCACUCUUUAUUCUUACUCUAGAUCAUGUGGUAGAGCUCAAUUGUAAGAAUUCAAACUUCUAAAUUCUAUUUUAUUUGUAACACAAUGAUACCUCAUCCAAACAGAUAGUUGGUAAGAGAUUAAAUGUUGUUGUGGAAGAGUUGAGUCAAUGGAACUCGAUUUUGCAUCAUGCUUAUGAUGAGUAAAUGUAAGGUGUUCAACAGAUCAUCUAUGUACUAAGAUGUGUGAGCUUCUUGAUAAGGAGCCCCAAUGAAUGAAUAUCUAUCCACCCAUAUGGUAAAGAGAGACGAGAGAAUCAGGAGGUGGAUACAAGUUUCAAUAAGUAAAAGAAGCAACUUGAAAAAGGUUACGAGGCACCAGUUAGUGAAGGUUUUGAGUUUUUACAAUUUAGGUAGAGAAAUAUAUGUAUUCUGAGUUACAUUCAAUAGUAACAAAGGUAUGUACAAUUGGCCACACCCAUCUCUGUAUGCCCUAUGGAAGUUGACAGAUAUAGUUUAAGAGAAGAAAGAGAUAUCAAGAUCCAAUUGUGGCUAGAUUAACCCAAAAUGGUAGAUGGAUUAUUAUAAUUAGCUAACAUUUCCGAAGGAUAUUGCAAAUGUGGUAAUAGUUCUCGUUGUAAGACACCCCGGUGGUGCAAGCUAGAAUAGUACAUUUACAUAUGAAUACUAGAAUGACUGGAAAAAUUUAGAAGAAUGGCACUGGAAUCCUAGAAGGGAUAAAUAUUUACCUUUGUAUGGCUCUCGUUCCUAGUAAAGAGAGAAUGCUAGGUGACCUAAAGAGCCAGUGAGAUGAAGCAAUGGGAGCUAAAAGUGAAAGAAUAAUUUGUUGAAGUUAUCAGAAUAAAGUGAUAGACNNNNNNNNNNNNNNNNNNNNNNNNNUACAACACGAUGACAGAGUUUAUAGUCAAGUAAAGGAAGAUACAAGAGGUGACAUGACUUAAGGCAAUAAAAGAGUAUAAGACAUAAAGUCAUAUUCCCAUUUCGAGAAAUGAUUUGGUGACUCCAACGUGAUUACCAUAAGGAAAGGUUAGACCCCAGAGUGAUAGAAAUCAGUAUGGGCUGGUAAACAAGAUAAACCGAAUAUGAAUAAGGGACCGAAUGAGUUUAUAAUAUUCGUCAUCGUGAGAAUUUCAAAGAUAGCAUUGAAACAAUAAUAGAAUGGACAACAAAAGAAUAACCUUUAAGGUUUAUUCAGGAAGACGCUUCCCUAAAGCAAGCACAAUGAGCAGAGUUAAGCUUAAGGGACUAAGUGUACCAAUUACACUAAAUGUCACCCAUGUGCGUAAGAAAUUCAACUAUCCCCGGUAUAGAAAGGUUUCCUCAAGGUGAGUAAAAUGUCAGUGAAGAUGUGAAAAAAAAAUAACAAAGAUAAAGAGGUAACUAUGGGAUAUUAAAGGAAGCAUGCGGUGAAAGGUGAAAUGAAUGAGAAUGCAUCUGUUCAGAUCCUACAGAUAUGAUAUGACUCCAAAACCUUAUGCAAGUAUGAUGCCAGGAAGAAGCAAUAAGGUUUCAUCACUCGACGAUAUUGAUAAAUAAGUGCAAAAUAAACACUUGAUACACAAGGAGCCAGUACGAUAGGUAACUUAAGACAAAGUAAAUAACCAAAGAGAGAUUACGCGGAAUAUAGAUAUAAGAAUGGACCAACGAGUAGUUGUAGUUGAUUUAGGAAGAGCCAUGUUAUGGUUAGACAAGAGGUUAUAAGCAAAUCAGCAGAUCAUGCAAGAUAAACGUAGUGAAUCAUAAUAUAGUGAAUUCAAUCUCGCAGAUAUGAUGUCAUAACCCUUGAGAAAUGCUCAGAUAGGAGUUGGGGUAUUUAAAGGUAUUGUAUAAGUGUUACAGGAAUAAUCGAGAGUGUCAUUAAGGAGACAAUCAAAAUCUGAGUUUAGAAGUAACCCUACAAGCAUAAGGGCACGGAGGUAUGUAACUAAGGAUGUUUGUAGGCGAGUAAGAAUAUCGGAAAUUCCUUCAUGUAUACAGUAUAACAAGAUCACAACUUUACAAGAUCCAUAAGGUCUCCUAAGUAUUACCACGAAAGACUAGCUCAGGAAAUAAGGAAGAGGGCUUCAACCUAAGCAUAUUAACUUGAAGAAGAAUUGGUCUGGUAACAAUAGUCUCACUACAAUAUUAGAAGUACUCUGUAAGAAAGUGGCGUCUAUAGUAGCUAAUGAAUGGAAAAAAAAUCAAAGGUGGUGUUUGAGAUCAUAUAAGGUACAGGAAAUUAUAGUAUUUGUGGGAAAUAAGACAAGCCACAACAAGUGGCAGAACAAUCAGGAAAAGUAAUUGCUUACAUUUAAAGACAACUGAGAAGGCACAAAAAGGAAAUCUGUGGUGCUAGCAAGUUAAAGAAAGGAUGUGAGUAGUACAAAUAGAUAAGUGUAGGUCGCAAGCUAAAGUAUGACAGAGUGACAAGACUUUAGGUAUAUGGGAGUAAGGAUAAGAAAAGGUGAGUUAGGAGCUGACAAGAAUAGGUAAGACCUCGGUAUUAAGCCCAUCAAACAAGAGAGCUGAUGGUUUAUGUAUGUUAUAAAAACCUCAAUAUAGCUUUAAUUAACACGGAGGAGUCUAAGACUAGGAGCAUUUAUAAGAGAUGGAAUGCUGCCCUGGUCGUAAUGUAAGGGCGUAAUUCUGGUAAAUUAUAAAAGGAUGAUAUUUAGGCCUAAUGAUUCAAACAGAAGAGAUUUCAUGGAUGGAACAGGAUUAGUAUACCCCUCUAAGACGAAUCACAUUGGAAUGCUAUGAAAUACGGUUAUUGAAGAAUAGUACCGUCCCUAGGUGGAUUGGGAAAAUCACUUCAGAUGUUCCCCGAUGAGACGUGAUCCCCAGUGACAAUGAAUUACGUAAGAGGUUUCAAGUUAUCAGUGGUAGAUUAUCGAUCAACAUUAAGGUGAAUCACCAAUGGAUGGAUAAAAGUUACAAUGUAUGAGAUGAGAUUAGACCGUCACUAUUAUGAUGAACAGUAAUGAGGAAGCAUUAAAGGACUUUGAUGUAUACAUAUAGGACAAGCAGUGAAAGAGUAACCCGUAGCUGGGUGGCAGACCUCGGUAAUAAUAAACUGAAGUAAGCGUUAGGAUAUAGUAUGAACUACCUAGAUGUAGUAAAGCCAUAAGCAUAGAUAACCGAGGCUAUGAAGCAAGGUAUAGCAAUAGUCGUAAGUUCGACAAAGUACUAAGCGAAGAACUUUAGUACACCUAUAGAUGCCUAGAGGGACAUCUUGUCAUAGUUCUGCAUAUGUUCACAAAGUGAGGCCUAGAGAUUGGCUAAAAGCUGGAGGAAAAAGGAGAAAAGAGUCGCAUAGGCACCCAUGCAAGUAUAUGGUUGUACAUGAUGCAUGAAAGAAGGUAACAACAGUUACGAGAUUGGAAGAAUUCCGACCACAGGUCGUGGUAUGAGAAAGAGGCCUAAAAGGGGGAAUACCCUAGCCCUUAGAUUUAUUUACAGAACAGUUUCAUAGAUGUCAAGUACAAUAUUAAAAUAUUCAUAAGUGCUACAGGUUAUGAUACUGAUAAGUGCAUUAGUCAACAUUCGAGGAUGAAUGUUUCAAAGGGGGAAUGAUGUUACACCCCAUGUUUUCGUACGUAAGAGUACGCCAUAAGUCAAUUAAUGUAAGUUCAAAAAUGGAAUCAUCUUUCAAAAGUAUAUAAAGUUAGUUCAUCAUGUUAACGUGGAGGUUACAAAUAUUUAAGAUCAUUGAUACCAAGUAGAAAGAGGGUUUGAAGGAUUAGAAGCUAAACAAAUUGAAGAAAAUAAGUUUCGUCGAAAGUCGACAAGUUGGAAUGUAUUACCAUGUACUUUUGGGGUGAAGCUAGGGUUAUUAACAUUAUAACGAGAUUAUAAUAUGAGUUAUUUUAGUUGUAUGNNNNNNNNNNNNNNNNNNNNNNCUAGUUACUAAAUAAUUAAACCGUUCAUCAAUACAAUAUCGGAGUAUAGAGAUAUUUGCAUUUUCGAGAGACUGCGCAGAUUGGUAGGUGACAAGUAGGUGCAUCACCUACUUGCCAAAAUGAGAGGACAAAAUUAAAAGCCCCGAAGUCGGCCAAGAGGGGACUUUUAAGGGAUUAUCAACUCAAUUAUAUCACCUAUCUUUCAGACCAAGAAAACCAAAUUGAACCCCUGCAACUCCUCCCCAAAAAUCCCACACAAACCCUAGGGUAUUCCGGGUGUUACGACGCAAUUUUGGUGCUGAAAAGUCUGGACAGCUUGCUAGUUUCUCUUCCUCCUUCUUGUAGCUAUGUUGAGGAAAUUAUUUUUGAUAAAACAGGACCAGGUUUCGUGGGUUAUACUAAGUACAAGGUAAGUUUAUGCUUCUCCUUCCAUUAUCUAUGUGUUUGCGAGUUGUAACUCGAUCGUAAAGAAUAUACCUAGCUAGUUUCGAAAGAACGGUAUGUUGUUUGUUCUUGUGUAAUGGUUCACUGGUUGUGAACUUCUUUCUAAUUUGAAUUCAUGACUGGUUUAUUGGAAAAUAGGUAUAAUGAUGUACUUUUGGUUGUAUUUCUCAAUUUGAAAGAAAAGACAAGUCGAAACGUGUUUAAGUCGAAAUGAUGUCCUUAGUCAAAUUAUUUUUGAGUUGAUGAACUUGUGGGGCUAUUUGUGGGCUGUUUCGUGUUGGUAUUGGGUUGUACUUGUUACUGCCAUUUUUAUGGAGUUGAGAGGAGGAAGGGUGUGCAGAAAUACUACAUAAUGGCAAGGUUGUUGUUGGUCAUUCGUCGUAACAUUUUCGGAUUGUUUGACACUAUUAUGGUUGUCGUGUUGUGUAUGAAGUGAUAGGGGUAUGUUGUGAUGUUUGUGAUUGAUUUGACUAGUGUGAAUUCAUAUAUAUAUAUGGGAGGUUCUGUCCGUUUCAUUGUAAAAUAGGUUGUGUUCAAUACAUAAUAGUUACAACGCUUAAACGAUAACGAGAGUGUCAUUUCUCUUAUUGUAGACUAAGGAGCCGUGAAAUUGCAUAGCUUGAGGUUAGGAAGAAUACACAAGGUAUGUUAAGGCACUUUCUUCUUUAUUUUGGUAUGAUCUAAAAUGAAAUGAACAUAAACAAUACACUAUUUCAUAGUUACUCUACUCCUGGCAACUAAGGUUGUCCAUGUUGUUCUUUUCAUACAAAGUUAUUCUAAGAAUGCCUUAGAAAAGGUAAAGGUGAUUCACGAGAGGCUUCGUACAACGCAGUCGAGACAAAAGAGUUAUGCUGAUAGGAAGGUUCGAUAUAUGUCCUACAUGGUUGGUGAGAAGGUUCUGUUGAAGGUUUCACCCAUGAAAGGUGUUAUGAGAUUUGGGAAGAAAGGGAAAUUGAGUCUGCGGUUCAUUGGGCCUUUUGAGGUGCUUCUAAGGAUUGGGGAGGUGGCUUCUGAGCUUGCUUUGCCACCAGCUUGUCGAGUGUGCAUCCGGUAUUUCAUGUUUCUAUGCUCUGGAGGUAUAUUGGGGAUCCGUAUCAUGUUUUGGGUUUCAGCACGGUUCAGUUGGAUGAUGAUUUGACUUAUGAUGUGGAGCCAGUAGCUAUUUUGGGUCGACAGGAUCGAAAGUUGACGUCCAAGGAUAUAGCUCCAGUGAAAGUGUAGUGGACUACUUGGGAGACCGAGCGGGAGAUGCAGAGUAGAUAUCCUCACCUGUUUGAGUGGGAGAAUAUGACAACCCGACCAGUCGUCUAAAGAGUUACUGCUCCGUUUUCCCCAUUUCUGCUUCUUUAUGCUUUGUUUAUCCGUAUUAUGUGAUAUCGUGUUGGUCGGAUCAAAUCCAGAAUAAUUUUGGUAAGGUUUGAGACAUUUAAUCUCUUUGGAAUGAGUUUAGGUUGGAAAAGUUAACGGGAUGUUGACUUAUAUGUUAGAGGGCUCAGAUGUGAUUUCCGAUGGUUUGGUUAGCUUUGGGAAGUGAUUUGUGACUUAGGAGCGUGAUCGGAAUGAGUUUUGGAGGUUCAGAGUAGAUUUAGGCUUGAAUUGGCGAAGUUGAUAUUUUGGCGAUUUCCGGUUGAUAGGCGAGAUUUUAUAUAGGGGUCAGAAUAGAAUUCCAAGAGUUGCAGUAGUUCCGUUCGGUCAUUUGGGAUGUGUGUGCAAAAUUUCAGGUCAUUCGGACGAGAUUUGGUUGGGUUUUUGAUCAAAAGGGUAAUUUUGAAGAUUUUGGAAUUCUUAGGCUUGAAUCCGAUGUGAUUCGGUGUUUUGAUGUUGUUUUGAUCGUUUCGAAGGUUGGGACAAGUUUGAAUUAGGUUUUUGGAUAUGUUGGUGUCUUUGGUUGAGGUCUUGGGGGCCUCGGGUGAGUUUCGAAUGGUCAAUCGGGCCAUUUCAUGCCUUGGAGAAGUUUCAGAAUUGCAGGUUCAGCUGUUACAGAGAUUCCUUUUCUACGAUUGCGUAGGGCUUCCUGCGAUCGCAUAGAAGCUUUUGAGGGGACACUCAAUUUGUUCUUUGCAUUCGCGAAGGUUGAGCUGCGAUAGAAUAGAAUGGUGAAGUUGUUGAUCGCGAACGCGUAGUGAAGGUCGUGUUCGCAUAGAGUUAAGUGGACCUGGGGUCUUGACUUGAAUUUGUUCAUUGCGAACGCGGUAGGAAGUACGCGAUCACGUAGAGUUAGUUGCCUGGGCAUCGCAUUUGCAGGGUGUCUUAUUUGUUCGCAUAGAGUAAUUUUUGGGAGCUGAGAAUUUGUGCUUUGCGAUCGCGAAGGAUUUCCCGCGAUCGCAAUGAAGGAAAAUAGACUUGGGCAGAAGGUUUAAAAGGUCGCCGUGUCCGCGAAUGUGGGGUCUAUUUCCCCAAUUUUUGGUCAUUUUGGAGCUUUUUGAAGGAGAUUAAAGAGUGAUUCAAGGGGAAUCACUUGGAGGUAAGACUUUUGGACUUAAAACUCGAUUCUAAAGUGAAUUCCACCUAAAUAAUCCUGGAAAUUAAGCUAAAAAUUGAAGAACUAGGGCUUGAAAUUGGAGACCUAAAAUUUGGGAUUUGAAGGGUCAUUUGUGGAUGGAUUUUGAUGUUUUUGAUAUGUAUGAACUCGUGGGGAGAUAAGGAAUCCAUUGAAGUGAAAUUUUUUGAAUUCCAAGUCGUGGGCCCGGCGAGCGGGUUUUGGUAAUUUCGGGAUUUGUGUCAUUUAUUGAUUGUUUUCGCUUGGGCUUCGCUCCCUUAGCCUAUUUUGACUUCCUCAUUCUGAUUUUGGAUAGAUUCAAUGCGAGUGGAGGCCGAUUCGAGGGGCAAAGGCGUCGCGAGUUAGAGAUUUGACCGGUUUAAGGUGAGUAAUGUUUGUAAAUGAUGUUCUGAGGGUUUGAAACCCCGGAUUGCACAUCGUAGUGCUAUAUUGAGGUGAGGCAUAAGCUUGAUGACGAGCGUGGGGUCGUGCCAUCUUGGGUAUUGUGACUUGGUCGGUCCCGACUGAUGAUUUUACCGCGUAUUUGACUGAAAUCUUUUUGUUAUCAUCAUUAUUUGGUCUGAAUGCAAUAUUUGGGCCUUGUGCCAACUAUUUGAACCCUCCGGGAAUUUUUACUGGUAUUUCUCACUGAUUUGACUUUAUACUUGAACUCAGUAAUGUUACUUUCCUCUUUUUUCGUACUCAGCCAUGUUUACUCAGUUUUAAUACUUAAAUGGUAUUUUUAAAUGAUGUUUGGGCUGAGAAACACUGUUUUACUAUUGCCCGAGAGGUUUGUGAGGAUUUUGACUGAGUUAGGCCGAGGGCCUACGUUGUGAGGAAAUAUUUGAUGCUGAUUAUGAGGCUGAGGGCCUGAGAUAUGUACGCCACGAGGUGGCUUGAUUGAUAUUAGGCCGAGGGCCUAGUGAUGAUGCCACAAGGUGGCUUGAUAUUGCGCUUGGGCAGUAUGGGGCCCCUCCAGGAGUUUGUACACCCCUAGUGAGCGCGGGUACCUAUUAUGAUUUGAGAUUGAGCCCGAGGGGCUGUUAUUGUUCUAUAUGAUUGCCUGAGGGGCUGGUACUAUUCUGAGAUGUUGCGCGAGGGGCAGAUUUGUUGAUAUUGUGCCCGAGGGGUGAGCCUUAUGUUUUUACUUUUCAUAAUUGACUAUCAAUCACCUGCUUAAUUAUUGAAAAAUUCUUUUGGAGUUAAAGGAUUUUACCUAUCUUUCACUGAUUCACUGAUUUUAAAUGGUUUUACUGCCUCAUUAUAGAAUGCUAUGUGGCUUACGUGAUUUCUUGCUUUCAGUAUUUAUUUACCUUUGUUACUCACUGAGUUGGAGUACUCACAUUACUCCAUGCACCCCUGUGUGCAGAUUCUAGCGUUGUGGAUCCUGCCAGUACGAGUUGAGAGCUCCCGACAGAUAUUGGAGUCCACGAGGUAGCUUCUUGACGUCCGCAGUCCCGUG